Molecule: ribosomal RNA, 843 nt
Filed under: Paramunida longior
Lineage: Eukaryota; Metazoa; Arthropoda; Malacostraca; Decapoda; Munididae
Description: partial 16S ribosomal RNA
Rfam family: Archaeal large subunit ribosomal RNA (bases 264-511)
Source: RNAcentral
UUAAACUAAGAAUAUAUAGGGUAGAGUUUUAUAUUCAAAAAUUAAUAUAAGAUGAAGAUAUAAAUAAAUAUUUAUAAAUUAGACUUUUUAGUGGCCAUAUUAUUAAAGUAUUUUAACUAUUAAAAUAAAAAAAGUUUUAUUUUUAUUCUCUUUUUUUUUAGUAGAAUAUAUUUUAUAUCAAAAAUAAAUUAGAAAUAAUGAAAAUAUUAGUAGAAAAAAAAUAUUAUUUGUAUAAAUAUAAAUUAAUAAAUAAAAUUUAAUAGAAGGGAAAGAAAAAUUAAAGGAACUCGGCAAUUUUUUUUCUUGCCUGUUUAACAAAAACAUGUCUGUAUGAAGUUAUAUAAAGUCUGGCCUGCCCAUUGAAUAAAUUUAAAAGGCCGCGGUAUAUUAACUGUGCAAAGGUAGCAUAAUCAUUAGCUUUUUAAUUGAAGGCUUGUAUGAAUGGUUGGACAAAGUAAAGGCUGUCUUUAAUUUUAUUUUUUGAAUUUAACUUUUAAGUGAAAAGGCUUAAAUGAAUUUAAGGGACGAUAAGACCCUAUAAAUCUUUAUAUUAAAUUGUUAUUUUGAAAUUUAAUGGUUUGUUUAAAUAAAUAAGAAAACAAAAAAUAUUUUGUUGGGGUGAUGAGAAUAUAUAAAUAACUGUUCUUAUUUUAUACAAAGUUAUUUGUUUAAGAUUAGUAGAUCCUUUAUUUAAGAUUAAAAGUUUAAGUUACUUUAGGGAUAACAGCGUUAUUUUUUUUGAGAGUUCUUAUCGAAAAAAAAGUUUGCGACCUCGAUGUUGAAUUAAAAUUUCUCUACGGUGUAGAAGUUGUAGAAGAGAGUCUGUUCGACUUUUGAAGUUUU